CUGAAUGACCUGAUGGAAAACAUGUAGGAGAAACCAAACAGCAACUGCGUACCAGAAUGAACACACACUGAAAAUCGAUCAAAGACAGAAAUACUCAAUUACCGGUGGGG
Gavialis gangeticus (Gharial) is the source of this 110-nucleotide long non-coding RNA. RefSeq lists it as uncharacterized. NCBI's taxonomy places the organism in Eukaryota, Metazoa, Chordata, Crocodylia, Gavialidae. The record is from RefSeq and is a predicted model, not a curated record. The transcript has 3 exons.